GUAGGUGGCAAGCGUUGUCCGGAUUUACUGGGCGUAAAGCGCGCGCAGGCGGCUUGCCAAGUCUGGGGUGAAAUCUCCCGGCUCAACCGGGAUAGGUCUCCAGAUACUGGCAGGCUUGAGGGGAGCAGAGGAGAGUGGAAUUCUCGGUGUAGCGGUGAUAUGCGUAGAUAUCGAGAGGAACACCAGUGGCGAAGGCGGCUCUCUGGGCUCCAUCUGACGCUGAGGCGCGAAAGCGUGGGGAGCGAACCGGAUUAGAUACCCGGGUAGUCCACGCCCGUAAACGUUGGGCACUAGGUGUGGGGGGUAUUGACCCCCUCCGUGCCGUAGCUAACGCAUUAAGUGCCCCCGCCUGGGAGUACGGCCGCAAGGCUA
RNAcentral lists this ribosomal RNA (372 nucleotides) under uncultured organism. Its description in RNAcentral is "partial 16S ribosomal RNA". It matches the Rfam family "Bacterial small subunit ribosomal RNA", at positions 527 to 896 of the family's 1533-position model. The record is from RNAcentral.